RNAcentral lists this ribosomal RNA (251 nucleotides) under uncultured bacterium. RNAcentral's name for it is "partial 16S ribosomal RNA". It matches the Rfam family "Bacterial small subunit ribosomal RNA", at positions 525 to 775 of the family's 1533-position model. The record is from RNAcentral.
ACGUAGGUGGCAAGCGUUGUCCGGAUUUAUUGGGCGUAAAGGGAACGCAGGCGGUCUUUUAAGUCUGAUGUGAAAGCCUUCGGCUUAACCGGAGUAGUGCAUUGGAAACUGGAAGACUUGAGUGCAGAAGAGGAGAGUGGAACUCCAUGUGUAGCGGUGAAAUGCGUAGAUAUAUGGAAGAACACCAGUGGCGAAAGCGGCUCUCUGGUCUGUAACUGACGCUGAGGUUCGAAAGCGUGGGUAGCAAACAG